GACGAACGCUGGCGGCGUGCUUAACACAUGCAAGUCGAACGGAAAGGCCCUGCUUGCAGGGUACUCGAGUGGCGAACGGGUGAGUAACACGUGGGUGAUCUGCCCUGCACUUCGGGAUAAGCCUGGGAAACUGGGUCUAAUACCGGCUAGGAGCCAACUUUAGAGAGAUGGUUGGAAAGUUUUUUCGGUGUAGGAUGAGCUCGCGGCCUAUCAGCUUGUUGGUGGGGUAAUGGCCUACCAAGGCGGCGACGGGUAGCCGGCCUGAGAGGGUGGACGGCCACAAUGGGACUGAGAGACGGCCCAGACGGCUACGGGCGGCAGCAGUGGGGAAUAUUGCCCAAUGGGCGCAAGCCUGAUGCAGAGGCGCCGCGUGGGGGAUGACGGCCUUCGGGUUGUAAACUCCUUUCGCUAGGGACGAAGCUUUUUGUGACGGUACCUAGACAAGAAGCACCGGCUAACUACGUG
This 465-nucleotide ribosomal RNA is filed under the name uncultured bacterium. Its description in RNAcentral is "partial 16S ribosomal RNA". It matches the Rfam family "Bacterial small subunit ribosomal RNA", at positions 28 to 507 of the family's 1533-position model. The record is from RNAcentral.